AAUUCUAACUCAUUUGCUUCAUAUAAUUUUUUUUUCUUUUAGUCUGGCUGCAUUCCCAUGGAAUAAAACUUCAGAGAGCUGUGUAGACAAUAUGAUCAAAGCCAUUGUGAUUUCCAGAGCAGAUGGAAUGUUCUGUGCAGCUGGGGUAACAACUCUAAUUGAAUGGCUCAUUGGACUUGGAGGAAACAUAACCUACAGUGCACUGACUGCCAAUAACAUUUUAGCAACCAUGGUGGGGCAGGCGUUGCCACCAAAACUGGACAAGACUUUAAAUUGUCAGCACUAUCUUUGGAUUCAUUAACCCAGAUAGAUAAUAAAUUAGCUCUAGAUUAUUUGUUAGCUCAGAAGGAUGGAGUCGGCGCUUUGGCCAACACCUCCUGCUGUUUUCUGGGCACAAAGAAACUAGUGCUGAAGAGAUUUUGCAAGAGGCUGCUUGGCUUAAAACUAUUUACCAAGGUAAUGCCAAUGACAUAUGGAAAAUUAUUAGAGAUCCCUUGCCUAAACUUCCUGGUUCUUGACACCAUUAAGACCUUUGUUUCCUGUGCUUCUAUUCCCAUUGCUGUCUUUUAACCUCCUUGUUAAAUUUGUCUCUUCUGGAUUGCAACCAUUUUGAAUUACAAUAUUAGUCAUUCAGGACUUCCAACUGCUUCCUGCAGAAGAUGACCUGCCUUUGACAGUCACCAGUCAUUUAGAGCUUAGGGCCAGAGAGUUUUACUCCUCCAGGAGAAAGUCCUAACCCGGAAGAAGCUACAGAAGAUGGACCUUCGUUCCUCUAUUCCCCUUAAAAAUAAGGAAGAUUAAGUCUUUUCGGGAGAGGGUUGAGACAAGAGUAUGAGAUUAAAGUUUAAUUUGGUAACUGUUGAAAGAAAAGAACUAUACACUCUAUACUUGAGGUACGUGGUAGGAGAACCUUCCCAAACACAUCCAUUGCUUAACACAAACAACAAGAAUCACUGCAAACAGAUCUGACCACACUGCUUGCCUGAAAGUAACCUGACCCUCAUUUAGAUGCAUUCCCAUGCUAAAAGAUACACACAGGGUAGAAGAAAACACAAUACUAUUUCCAUGGAAGGUUCUAUCUUAAAUAGGGCAAGGGGUUAUAUUACAAAGGAACAGGUGAGCAUAGCUUCACCCAUGGGGCUGUAGCAAGACACACCCAUGAAGGAGACACCAUCCCUAGUUCAUAUGCACACAGGAAUGCAAAAUGGUGAGGGCACAGUAAUAACAUAAGCAUAGCUUAUGAAUAUGCUAAUUUUAACCCACAAACAUAUAUAUGCCAUUCACCCUUUGAUUUCCUGGCUACUCUGCCUAUGGAGUAGCAACCUUGUGGGAGACCAACCUCACACAUGACUGAGUCACACUCCCCGGCUGGGUGCUGAGGCACUCAGUCAUAGAAAUGUGG
Molecule: long non-coding RNA, 1402 nt
Filed under: Ictidomys tridecemlineatus (thirteen-lined ground squirrel)
Lineage: Eukaryota; Metazoa; Chordata; Mammalia; Rodentia; Sciuridae
Description: lncRNA (ENSSTOG00000032210.1)
Source: RNAcentral